RNAcentral lists this transfer RNA (72 nucleotides) under Ornithorhynchus anatinus (platypus). It matches the Rfam family "tRNA". From Rfam's summary of the family: Transfer RNA (tRNA) molecules are approximately 80 nucleotides in length. The record is from Rfam by way of RNAcentral. Lineage: Eukaryota; Metazoa; Chordata; Mammalia; Monotremata; Ornithorhynchidae.
AGCAGCGUGGGUCAGUGGAAAGACCUCAGGCUUGAAAGUCAGAGGUCAUGGGUUCUAAUCCCAGCUCUGCCA